This 208-nucleotide long non-coding RNA is filed under the name Gallus gallus (chicken). Lineage: Eukaryota; Metazoa; Chordata; Aves; Galliformes; Phasianidae. The record is from RNAcentral.
UGUGUGACACAACAGUGCUGAGUGUGACACAACAGUGCAAUGUGUGACACAACAGUGCUGAGUGUGACACAACAGUGCUGAGUGUGACACAACAGUGCAAUGUGUGACACAACAGUGCUGAGUGUGACACAACAGUGCUGUGUGUGACACAACAGUGCUAUGUGUGACACAACAGUGCUGAGUGUGACACAACAGUGCAAUGUGUGAC